Molecule: ribosomal RNA, 1096 nt
Filed under: uncultured organism
Description: bacterial SSU rRNA
Rfam family: Bacterial small subunit ribosomal RNA
Source: RNAcentral
UUGAUCCUGGCUCAGGAUGAGCGCUAGCGGCAUGCUUAACACAUGCAAGUCGAGGGGUAAGUUCCUACUUGUAGGAAACACGACCGGCGCACGGGUGAUUAACGCUGUAUGCAACCUGCCUCUAACUGGGGCAUAGCCCGAAGAAAUUCGGAUUAAUUUCCCAUAUCAUUCAAUGAUCGCAUGAUGAUCGAAUGAAAGCUCCGUGCGGUUAGAGAUGGGCAUGCGGGUCAUUAGCUUGUUGGUGAGGUAACGGCUCACCAAGGCUGCGAUGACUAUGGGGCCUGAGAUGGUGAUCCCCCGCACUGGUACUGAGACACGGACCAGACUUCUACGGAACGCAGCAGUGAGGAAUAUUGGGCAAUGGAGGCAACUCUGACCCAGCCAUGCCGCGUGCAGGAUGACGGCCCUAUGGGUUGUAAACUGCUUUUCUGAGAGAAGAAUCCCCCCGAAUUCUCGGGGGUUGCCGGUAUCUCAGGAAUAAGCAUCGGCUAACUCCGUGCCAGCAGCCGCGGUAAUACGGAGGAUGCAAGCGUUAUCCGGAUUCAUUGGGUUUCAAGGGUGCGUAUGCGGGAAAGUAAGUCACUGGUGAAAGCCUGCAGCUCAACUGUGGAACUGCCAUUGAUACUGCUUUUCUUGAGUCUGGUCGAGGUAGGCGGCAUGUGUAAUGUAGCGGUGAACUGCUUAGAUCUUACACAGAACACCGAUUGCGAAGGCAGCUUACUAAACCGAUACUGACGCUGAUGCACGAAAGCGUGGGGAGCGAACAGGAUUAGAUACCCUGGUAGUCCACGCUGUAAACUAUGAUCACUCGCUGUUGGCAAUACAUCGUCAGCGGCUGAGCGAAAGCAUUAAGUGAUCCACCUGGGGAGUACGGUCGCAAGAUUGAAGCUCAUAAGGAAUUGACGGGGGCCCGCACAAGCGGUGGAACAUAUGGUUUAAUUCGAUGAUACGAGAGGAACCGUACCUGGGCUUAAAUGUAGACUGCAAUUUCCGGGAAACCGGAAUUUCCUUCGGGACCGUCUACAAGGUGCUGCAUGGUUGUCGUCAGCUCGUGCCGUGAGGUGUCGGGUUAAGUCCCAUAACGAGCGCAACCCCU